CGCAGCUAACGCAUUAAGCAUCCCGCCUGGGGAGUACGGUCGCAAGAUUAANACUCAAAGGAAUNGACGGNGGCCCGCACAAGCGGUGGAGCAUGUGGUUCAAUUCGANGCAACGUGCAGAACCUUACCAACCUUUGACAUGUCCCGUAUGAGCGCCAGAGAUGGAGCUCUUCAGUUCGGCUGGCGGGAACACAGGUGCUGCAUGGCUGUCGUCAGCUCGUGUCGUGAGAUGUUGGGUUAAGUCCCGAAACGAGCGCA
RNAcentral lists this ribosomal RNA (258 nucleotides) under eubacterial soil DNA clone S-5. RNAcentral describes it as "partial 16S ribosomal RNA". It matches the Rfam family "Bacterial small subunit ribosomal RNA", at positions 847 to 1100 of the family's 1533-position model. The record is from RNAcentral.